This 83-nucleotide ribosomal RNA is filed under the name Corynebacterium spheniscorum. Lineage: Bacteria; Bacillati; Actinomycetota; Actinomycetes; Mycobacteriales; Corynebacteriaceae. The record is from RNAcentral.
CCUUUCCGAACCCGGAAGCUAAGCCUGUUUGCGCUGAUGGUACUGCACCUGUGAGGGUGUGGGAGAGUAAGUUGCUGCCGACC